This 73-nucleotide transfer RNA is filed under the name Candidatus Woesearchaeota archaeon. Its description in RNAcentral is "tRNA-His". It matches the Rfam family "tRNA". From Rfam's summary of the family: Transfer RNA (tRNA) molecules are approximately 80 nucleotides in length. Their secondary structure includes four short double-helical elements and three loops (D, anti-codon, and T loops). Lineage: Archaea; Nanobdellati; Candidatus Woesearchaeota. The record is from RNAcentral.
GUCCCCUUAGCUCAGCCGGUAGAGCAUCUGACUGUGAAUCAGAGGGUCGCUAGUUCGAGUCUAGCAGGGGACG